Molecule: long non-coding RNA, 1343 nt
Organism: Amphiprion ocellaris (clown anemonefish)
Lineage: Eukaryota; Metazoa; Chordata; Actinopteri; Pomacentridae
Exons: 3
Source: RefSeq, a predicted model, not a curated record
UCUUGUGAUGCCAGGUAUCUGAAAGCACAACCAUUGAGGACCUUGAAAAGGCAAAGGCACCUCUGCUUGACUACUUGGCCAAUGCAGGAUGUCUGAGGCCUCUUCGGUCAAUCAGAGACAGGGAUCUGCUGGUACAAGACGUCAUGUUUCAGGUCAUCCACAGGGUUCAAGGACCAUUCCAAAGAUUCCGUGAAGGACUGAAAACUCUGGGGGUUCUGGAGAAAAUCCAAAAACAUCCAGACAGCUUUCGCCCCCUGUUCUGCUAUGACUGCUGACCAGUUGGAUGAUCUUUUCGCCAUUCGUCUGUCACCAGAAGGGAGCAACAAGAGAGUUGUAGAGGAAGUGGUGAUUCCCUUUUGGAGAGACUAUCUUCAAGAUGCAGAAGAAGAAGGACCAUCUAAACUACAGAAGAUAUUGGCAUUCGCCACUGGAGCAUCUGUUGUCCCUCUAUUGGCUUUUCCCCAAGUCCGUCUGUUGAGUUCAUUCAUAAAGGAGAUGACGAUUUCUCUUCUACACCACUGUUCCCAAUGGCCAGCACCUGUGUUAACUGUAUCAGGUUGCCACUCCAUGCAUCAUACCAACUCUUUAAGGAGAAGUUUGACUUUGCCAUAGGAAACACAUAUGGGUUUGGCAGAGCCUGAAUGCCAUGUUUGUGUCUUUUAUGUUCUAUUCUAUUUAUUUACACAUUGUUCAUUAGUUUUACAGAAAGUUUGAACAAAACAUAGUUGAAAGGAAAACACAUUAACAUAGCCUCCUUACAGAAAGAUGUGGAGGAGUGAGGAAAACAAAUCAAUACCAUGGUUCCCAUCAUUUUCAACUGGAUUUACUUGUUGGAUCCUGUUCAUUGUGGCCUCAUUGAUUGUUAUUGUAAUGUCUGGAAUUGUAAUGUUGUUAUUAGUUUGAAGUUGCGGCAAAGGCUCGUGUUCAUUGACGUCAUACUCUGUGUCCAAAUGAAUAAUGUCAUUUAUAAUUGGUUCAAUUCCAAUGUUGUUAAUGACACCUGAAUGCCACAACUGAAGAGGUGUCUGGCCCCCUUGUGUCGAGAGGCCAUGGUUGUUCCACUGGUUAAUAAAUUCGGUCACAGCCUGCUGAAUUCUUGGCAAAUAAACAUAAUGCAGACAAAAAAGAUGUAGUUCAUUCAAUGAAUUAAGAAUACCUUGUUCUUCCAUGAAGUUAAAAAUGUUGAUGAAGUGUCUGCAAACAACUCUAUUGAGUUCUGCCCAUAGUCUUUCAAUUCUCUGAUUAUGAACUGAAACACCUGUAAUAACACUGUUCAGUCCCCUUCUUUCCAACAUAAAACGUGCAACAAGUAUAUUUUCCAUGCCAUGAUCACAUCUGACCCU